Molecule: non-coding RNA, 7928 nt
Organism: Meleagris gallopavo (turkey)
Lineage: Eukaryota; Metazoa; Chordata; Aves; Galliformes; Phasianidae
Source: RefSeq, a predicted model, not a curated record
CAGAAACUUUAUCAAAAAAUAAUAUAAGAUAUUAAAAUGAACAAAAUCUAUUGUUGGUAUACUUUAGACCAAUAAUUAUCUUUUGGAAAAAAAAAAAAACACAACUAUUUUUAGAGGAUUUGAAUGCUACAUAGGGACAGAAGGCAUUGUUCAGUUAGGUAUUUUAAAAAAUUCAGAGAUGGGUAUUGUUAGGAUAUAAAAUAGUUUUGUUGUCAUUAGCAGUAUAAUGCACUAAUAGCUGAUUUAUUUUAAAGUUAUGAUCAAGUUCUCUAUAAAACAGGGAUCAUCACUGGAGAAUGUUUUGCUUAAUCGAGUAUGGAAUACUGCAUACAGUAUAGACAUCAAAAUCAGUGAAUGAUGUCUAAAAGUGCUGAUAGCUCAUAAAAUUAGAAACACAGAAAGGAAAUACUUGUUUUUCAUAAUUUUGAAGGAGUUAGGCUUAAAAUUCUUGAGAAACAAGCAAUGAUUCCCUAUGCUUUUUAAUUUCUUUUUUUUUUUUUAUUUUAAUACCUAAGGUAGGUGCUAGAGGUUAGUACAACAGGGAACUAUGAUCAAAAUUAAAUUUCUUUUUUUUCCACUCCCUCAAAUAUCCUUUCAUUUUAAUUGAGGAGGCAAGUUUUAUUAAAUAGGAAGUACUCGCUUUCCUAAAAGUACUACAUUAUUCACCGUGGUCCAGGCUGGCAAAGAAGGGUCGUUGCACUUGCCAGUCCCUUGUAUGAGGAAAAGUGUCUGACUUAUUUGUUUCUGUGUUAAUUCAGAAGUCUUAUGCAGGCCCCAGGAUAUGGAACAGAACCACGAAAGAAAAAAGGUACAGCAUGGAGAAAGAGAUAUUUUCCUUAAUGGGACCUGGUAGAAAUGAUUUAAAGCUCAUUUACAGCCUGACAUGAUAGCUUCUGUUAUACAGCUUUCACUUCACCUAACCUAGCACAGUCAAGGAAGAGAGCAGCACAGGAAGAUUAACUGCACUGGCAAGUGACCGAAAUCCACUGCCGGACCACACAGCACAGCCAUGGCCUAUUGCAUUACCAGCCAGCAGUGUUCAGACUGGGAUUUUCUAUCUUAGCUGGUUGUACCAGCUUGUAAGUCCUGCUUACUUUUAAAGAAUUCCACCUUCUGACACAAAAUGCCACUCAGCAAGAGGGAGUCUUCAUUGGGUGAUUUCAGUCUUAAUUGAUUCAGAAUCAGUGUUCACUUGUAGUCUGUUACCUAGAGUUUCCUGUCAUGUUUUUGGGUUUUGUUUUUUUUUUUUCAGACAAGCUGCUGCUAGUUUAACUGUUAACUCACAGAGUCAACAAAAUAAGUCAUCUUUGGAUUGCAGUCUGCUAUGUGUAGUUAACAAGAGAAGACACAAAAAUAGUGAUAAUGUGAUCCAAAGGGAUAUCGAGCCUUUAUUUAAAAUUUGUAAAUACUCAACUAUUGUCAACACUUCAUUUGAAGUAGGAAUGGGCAAAAAAUGCAUUAUUUUUGGCACAUGAUUGGGCAACAUUGAUCAUUUGCGAUAUCUAUAGCAUAUGAAAGUGUUAGACCAGUUUCUGGUAAGUUACUGUGUAGUAGAUCACAUUUUGCAUUUCUAAAUAGAAAUUGAAAAUAGCAUUUUUGGAACUGUUCUAUGAAACUUUGCUUAUUGUUUUGUUUGUUUGCUUUUAUACAGCUUCAUUUUUUUCAUGUACCCAUCAGGUUAAGCAAUUAUCUUAAAAUGCCAAUAAUCGUUUGAAGGCUGGUCUGUAAAUAAAACGUGAAUUUAAUAUUUUAGAAAAUGUAAACUUUGGACCUUUACCAAUAUAUUUUUUUAAAAUGUUGCUUCAUUUUACAUUCAGUAAUAUUAGUUUGUAAACAAACUAUACAUUUUGUAUCUGUGCAACAUCAGAGGAUGUGUAUUCAUUGCAUUUUAUUGGUUCUCUUGAGGAACAUGAUAAAUGACCAUUGUUAAAAUGUUUUAUUGUAUAUGAUCACAGAUAAAGAUAGUAGGUCCAGAAUGGGAUCUACUUUUUUCUUUCUAAGAAUAUUGGUCUUGUUAUGUUUUCUUGUCUAAAACUUUGUUCACUUACUUUUUCUUAGGUGUUAAAACUGGGGUCGCUAAGCCUGCAUAAAAUAAAUCUGUUGUGAAAAGACUUCAAAAACAUAAAAAAUGAAAAACCUAAAUUUUCUCUAGGUCUCUUAAGAAGAGUGCAAGAGGUAAUUAGCUGAAAUUGCAGCAGUGAACAUUUACAUUAGACAUUUGAAGGACUUUUAAGGGGUAAAGAAUUACUAGAAUAGAAUGCCUCAGAGGUGCUGCAAUCUCUGAUAGUGGUGAUAUUCAAGAACAAGUUAGACAAACAUCUGUUAGGAAUGGUUGAAGUAUAGUUCAUUCUGCCUUGAAGCUAAGGGAUAACUGAAUAACCUCUGAAGAGGCUCUUUAACUUUGGUGUUGGGUUUUUUUUAGGUUGCUGGGGAAGUAAUAAAUGAGUGCUUGAAUGAAAGGAAAGCUUAAGGCCUACAGUUCAAAAAAUACAUAUAUUGCCCCUGACGUUUGUGCACAAGCAGUUGAAUUGUCAAUUUCAAUCGUAUGGAAAAGCAGGUUUGCAUUAAAAGACCAGCAACUGAACAUGUGAUAACACUGGAUUUUGCAUCAGUUUACAGCUGUAAGAGUUAUAUAAGAUUACAGCUCUAAGGGCUGUGUGAUGUUUGUGGCAUUUUAAAAUUGAGGCAGAUUGAUAUUCAGGGACAGAAUUCAGAGACAGAAACAGGUGCUAUUGUAACACAUGCCCUGUACAUGGCAUAAACACUUUAUGUGAGAAUUGGCCUUAAGUGAAAACAGUGGAAUUAAUCCCGCAUCAUAGGUUUCAAAAGUCACAUAGGUCUUCUACUAGUUUUGGUUGCAGAGGAGCCAGAAGAACACUGCAUUUUCCAGACAAUGAUGGUAUUGAUCACGAAGGCAAAGGCUCUGUUAUUUUUAUUAGGUUGAGAAUUUCAUUGGAGGUUUCUGCUAGAACUGUGUGUUUUAAUGAUGCAAAUUUUAUUUUUCCUUUUCCUUUUCUCCUUCCACUUCACUUCUCUUUUUUUUUUUCUGUGAAAAUUAAUAGACUUUUCUUCCCUUUCCAAAUAUCUCUAUUCCAAACAGGGCCUGGAAUAAUUUUGAAGUACUGGAAAAGGUCUUAGAAAGGAAGUGUCAAGGUAACCUUAGCUGUAUGCUAUUGUUAGUGUAUCCUAAAUUGAUCCUGUUAUAUGUAUAUGAUCUGAAAGGAUAGUAGCUUAUGUGUUCUGGGGAUCUGACUGUGAAACUCAAGUAGGUAUAACUGCUUCCUGACACUGCUGCUCAACACUUCUUUCCUGUCUUUACCAGAAGAUGCUAUGCAUAGAAGCAGAUGUAUGGCAGUUCCAAGCCAUAGCGGUUUUCCAGCAUGGUAAAAUGGCAAAGUUUUACUUUUGCUUUUAGAAGGAUGGCAAUUUCUUUUCAGAGCUCACAAGAUAGUGAGUGAGAUUCUGACCAAUUAAUGGGAAUUUUUAAUGGGAAUUUUGCUGUUGACUUUAUCGGUGCUGAACUAGCUUAAUAUUUUGUUUUCUUACAAACUUUGUUUUCUAACAAAGCUUUCAGACAAGGGACAGGUUAACAUGAAAGAAUGAUGAGUGCUAUAGAAACAUGGAUGGCUAAAAUUGCAAUAGAUAUGAAUAAAAUGGUUUUCUUUGUUUGCAGCUAAAGAAUUAAGUAACAAAAAUAUCAUGCACGGAAUUAUUCCUAAACAGACAUUUCUCUAUUUAAUGUUUUUGAAACUUAGGCCAGUGAUGUCUUUAUUAUACACAGAAUAACAAAAACUUUUAGUCUUUUGUCUCAUAUUGAACAUAUUGUGGUGGCAGGUGACCUUGGGGCUUCAGUGGAGGUCUGCGUGUAUUAAAAUUAAGCUUAGAAAUGAAUAGUUGUUUGUAUGAACAGGACUAUAUGUGUAUAUAUAUAUAUAUUUAUAUAUAUAUAUAUAAAAGUUCUGAUUAGGGUGAAAAGAAAUAUUUGAAGUAAUUGCUAUUCUGUAAUCUUAAGUGUGUGCUCUUAAAAACAGGUGUUUACUAAAGAGGAAAAUGAACAAAGAGGGCAUUGGAAAGAAUACCUUCCAGCCCUUUUCCACACUCAACCCCUCUUCUACACACAAUUCUUACCAAUAUUUAAACAAACAUUAGAAUACUAAGCAAUUCACAGCUGUGAACUUUAGUUUUCAUUUUCUGCUCUAAUAUUGCAAAGAAUAUGGUUUAGGCCUAGAGAUCAGAGUUUUAAAUGUUGAUGUCAUGUGAAAGCAAGUGCCUCAUGCUGACUUCAGUAGCAAAAUGUUGAAGUGUUCAGCUUCUAUUUGUUCGUGUAAGCUGCAGAAUACUAAAAACUCAUCAGCAUUUUGCUGUUAAGCUACCCAACCUGGAUUCUUCUGGAGAUCUGACUCUGGUUUCUAAUCCAGACAUAGCUUUAGGUGUGCCUUCUUAAUUCCAGUGAGAAAGGAUAUUUAAAUUAAUAGAAUUGGGUGGGGUACAGAAUAAUAUAUCAGGUGGUACCAGAAAGUCUACACUAAGCUUAAAAUGUAUUUUUAGAGACAGAUUAUCUAUUCUGAAGUCUUUUAUCAAAUUUUAGACACUUCUCUGUCAUACAGAAAUUGUACAUAUCUGAAAUAAAGUGCAUCUAUCACUAACAACAUUUUUUUUUUCCCUGAAAGUAAGCAUUUACAAGGAAGUACAGUACAGCAUAAUUUCACCUAGAAGGUAGAGAUAGAUAAAAAAAUAUUCAUUCUGUUAGUCCACAGAUCACAGUGGUAUGCUCAGUAAGAGAUGCACAGAAAUGUGCAUGUUUCAUUAAAAAUUCCAUUACAGCAGUUGAUCAGUCAUUUGUCUCCAUAUAGAACUAAAACAAUUAUAAUAGCAUUCAUUUCAGAGCAGAUGGAGGAUUUCCAUGAAUAGAUUUUGUUAAAUAUGUAUUGUAAUAGUUGAGACAUAUUUUCACAGGAAUGAUUUUUAAAUGUAAUAUAAGAGAUCUGGAAUAGAAUAUCUAAAAAUAGUGAUUUAUAUAAUAUUGAUAUCUUUUUGAAAGUAUUUUUCUCCACUAUCCUCUUAUAUUUUUUAUUUGCAGGCCUUACUCCUUCAGAUAUUUAUAAAGCUCUGAAACUUUAAGACCUUCAACAAUUCUGAUAGGAACAGAGCUGAGGGCUCUUUAUGACAGAAAUAGACUGAAGUCUUUCCGUUUUUCAACAAUCUGCAGCUAAGUAUCUAAUUUUAUAAAGAAAGAUAAACUUGAAAAACACGUAGACCUUCUGAAUAAAGUUGUUCCAAGUCUAAAACAUUUAUUAUUAAAGUAAAGCAUGGAUAUCAAAAGGGCUUGGUCAACAGCCUUUGAUAUCCCUGUAUCCCAGAUUCCUUGUAGGGUACAUAUGCAUAUAUUUAUAUAAAAUGUUUAUAUACCUGGGAUAUCUAUGUACAUUUAAAAGUCUGUAGCUCUUGAAAGGAUACAACAAGAUUGUAAGCCAAGAGUGGUACUAACAAUAUAUUGAAAAUCUUAGUGAAUGGAAAUUCCAAAUGUAUUUUCUUUUUCAUGAUGUUGACCACUUUGAAUAAAUAUAUAUAGGACAGUAGGAGAAUAUUGCAUACUGUGCAUGUAUUUAGAUUUAAAGCUGAAUUUUAAUGUAGAACUAAAAGAAACUACUGAAGUAUGCACUGAAUGUAGAUGGUCUUAGUGGAAUCAUAAAAUUAUGAGAAUUGUGAUAAAUGAUAAUUUCAAUUCUUUUUAAUUUAAAGACACACACAAAAAAGGCAAAAAACAUCAUGACAACAACAAAGCACACUGCUUACUUCUGUGGUUUUCUGACUUCCUCCCAGCAGUCUAUUUAUACGUUUGAGUAAUCUACAUGUACAAGCAAGUUAGCCGUGGGGAAGAUCAAUUUUUAGAAUAUUUUAGAGACAAAAAUACUGAAGUUUUCAUUCUUCACUAAUGAAGCUCCUGAUUUUUUUUCAAGGUCACAGAUACCAGAAGCAGUGCUUGUAUGAACAAAUCCUUGCAGUGGCAUUGCAGAGUACUCAGGCAAGAGGAUGUCAUCUGCUAGAAUUCCACUCUAAGAUGAAAAAUUCAUUUUUUCCUUUUGCUCUAGAAAUUGAAAUUAAAAAAAAAUGUAAACACUAAAUACCGUGUAGCUUCAGGCAGGGUUCCUCUCUGGGGGAAAUUAUCAAUUAUCUGCAGAUUUUUGGUAAUUUUAUACUUGUCAUCAGCAUAAUUGUAGUUUACAGAGUUUUCAGGACUGUGUGUCUUCAGAUGAAGAUAUUUGUCCUACUUGGCAUAUUGUCAAAGCUUGUUAAUGUGUUUCUGUUGUGUUUAAGUUUGCAUAGGCAAAGCACAGGAGAAGAGUUGGAGUAAAAGCAAGAAUAUACUGUGAAAAAUAUUCUCAAACUUACAUUUAUUCAGCUCUAGUACAAACAAAAUGCAAAUUUGUAUUUGCUAUAUGUAAAUACAGUUAUAUUUAAGAACAGCUUUUCACUUGCUUACAAAGUCAGUAGCCUCAGAUAAUGCUUGUUGUUUUGUGUAUGUUGUAUUAACCUCCAACAUUUAAAAUCUGCAUACAGAUUUUUUGUCCUGAGUGUGAGAACCAUGGAGUAUGUUUUGAUAUAUAUCUAUCACAGUAGAAGUGUCUAGUGGUAUUGACUAUGUCUAAGCAGCAUUUAAUCCCAUUUUUGUAUACUAGGGAAUCUCUUUUCCUUGUGUCCUAAAUAAGCCCAGUAUCAUUCCCCCAUUCCCAUUUCCUUUUAAAAAGGAUUAACUUUUUCCUGAGCUGUGCUUAGCACAUUAAAGAUAAUUUUUUUUUUUUCCCUCAGAUGCUGAUUACUUUGUUAAGAGGUAAAGUGAAUAGAAAGUGGCUUUUGCUGUUUAGAAAGGAAAUUUGCAAUGGAAUGUUUCUCUAAGUUUCUUUCAAAACAUUAGCAUUGGUUUUUUUUUUCCUUUUCUAUUUUAAACUUCAUUUUUUGAGAAGACAGUCUUCAUAAGGCAUAGUUUUCUGCUUAUGAAGAACUUGCUUCUGACAACUUCUUGGUGAUUCCAGGUAAAGUGUUUGCAGGUAGGCCAAUAGUCGUAUACAGAAAGAAGAAUGGAACUCACCCAACUGGUACAGGGGAUCUCUGGCUAUACAGCACUCAUCAGGAAGCAGCGUACGUCCAAAAGAUGUUCUCCUUUCAUUGUUUGGCCCUUACUUGAGCCCAUUAUGUGGCUGAUCCAUGCCCCCUGGGUCAGCCACUCUCCUUCACUAGGCUUCUCUGGCAAACUUGAAGUUUUAAAAAUGAGUGGCUUUGAUUUCCUUCCGGGUAGAACUUUUAAGAUCUCAUGUCUUUGGCUGCUGGAAGGCUGUGCAUUGCUGUUUUUCUGGAGUACUGGUGGAAAGAAACAUUCAGAUGCCUUCCGGUAGAAUAUUAGCUGUACAUUAUUGUGAACAAAAUGUUGAAACAUUGAACAUCUUCAGGUAAAAAUUUCUUUUUCCUUAAAACAUGUUUACUAAGCUGCUCAAUCUAUGCACCCAUGUAAUUGUGUUCCACUCCAUUAGAAUAAAGGGUUUAUGUCAGUUAUAAAAGUGCAAAAAUAGGUGGUUUAAAAGUGAUGUUACUAGGCUUAUCAGUCAACAGGGUUUUUUUGUGACCAUCUGGUUACAAAUGUUGAUGUUCUUAACAUAGUGCUCUCUAAAUAAGCCAAAACUUCUUUUAAAAUAUUUGAAAAUAUAUACAUGAAUUUUUUUUCAGUGUCCUGAUGUUAUACAGAGACUAUUAGCUCUUCACUCAACCAGAAAGGAUUUAAAUGGUACAUAAGGAGGACUAUAUAAUUAACAGUAAAAAUAUAUAGAUAUUUCUUUUUCUUUUCAUAUUUCCCCUUUCAUACAAGUUAUUAAAAGAAACAGGGUUGUUUAUUGUAUUUUGAUUAUAUUACCUCAUUUUUAAGAUGGUUUAUU